AUGUCUUCCUGUCAUCUUAGUGUGGAUUGUCUUCCUCUUGGCACCCUGUUCUUCUGUCAGACGCCAGCUGCCUUAAUUGUUACCUUUUUGGAUAGAGUAGCAGUCACCAUGAGGAUGUAUCCAGUGCUUUCUAGCCUGACAGUGACUGGUGUGGUUGGUCCUAAAAUUGGUGCAAAUGGUCAGAAAAAAUUCUUAGAAAUUGUUGAAAGAAAAUCAAUCUACCAUGCCACAGAAUUUCAAACCUACAUUUUGGUCUACACAUUGGAGAAACCACUGAGACAAACUGCUGAACUUGACAAAGGAAAGAGAAAACACUGUUGA
This 321-nucleotide ribosomal RNA is filed under the name Triticum aestivum (bread wheat). RNAcentral describes it as "partial small subunit ribosomal RNA". Lineage: Eukaryota; Viridiplantae; Streptophyta; Magnoliopsida; Poales; Poaceae. The record is from RNAcentral.